GGGUUGUGAGGUUAAGCGACUAAGCGUACACGGUGGAUGCCCUGGCAGUCAGAGGCGAUGAAGGACGUGCUAAUCUGCGAAAAGCGUCGGUAAGGUGAUAUGAACCGUUAUAGCCGGCGAUGUCCGAAUGGGGAAACCCAGUGCAAUUCGUUGCACUAUCGUUUGAUGAAUACAUAGUCAAACGAGGCGAACCGGGGGAACUGAAACAUCUAAGUACCCCGAGGAAAAGAAAUCAACCG
Molecule: ribosomal RNA, 239 nt
Filed under: Klebsiella grimontii
Lineage: Bacteria; Pseudomonadati; Pseudomonadota; Gammaproteobacteria; Enterobacterales; Enterobacteriaceae
Description: partial 23S ribosomal RNA
Rfam family: Bacterial large subunit ribosomal RNA
Source: RNAcentral